CCUGCCAGCACGAGGCGUCUGGACGCCUUUGCACAUUUGAGGGUGGUUUUGGGAAGGAGGAGGCAGCGAGCGGCAGGGAGGCGAGAAGGCCGGUGUGCCGAGAGACUGGAGUCCAGGGAGCUUUCAUUGUAUGAGCUGGACACGUCGGUGCACGCGUUUGUGCCGACAGGAGGAGCCAGGGAGCAGCGGCUGUGUGGGAGAGCGCGAGGGCAGGAUGCGGUGUGGGGGCCGCGGUUCACGGGCGGCCGGGCCAGGCGGCGGGGCGGGUCUCCGAGCUGUGACCCCGGCGUCAGAUCACAGACAGGCGGCCCUGUGUGCAAGCUGGGUGUCUGCCCAGCCAGACCAGGAGCAGGGGGCUGCGGCCAGUGCCCUCUUCUGAGACCUGUCCCUACGACCUCUAGUCAGAAGAGUCCGCAAGGUCGCAGCUCCCCGCCGCCCGCCCAGAACCACAGCAGCCCCUGGCUCCGCACCCCGGCCUGGGUCCUUCCUCCCCUCCCCCCAUCCAGGGCGUCUGCCACCUCCAAGGAACACGCUCGGCCCACCGCACAGGAGGGAGGGGCCCAGAACCUGACCCCCAACACUCAGGGCCCUCGCCCGAGUUGGUCUGGGCCUGCUCCACUACGGGGUACCAGGCACCUCCUGCAGGAAGAACACCCUGCAGAGGCUGGAGCCGCGGAUCAGAACCUUCCAUCUGGGCCCGGGUCCUCCGAACCCUCUGCCUUCCAGCCAGUGGUCACUGCACCCCCGAGGGUUACAGAUGGUUUUGGGGGCCCACAGACCCCUGGCGUCCCCUCCCUGUCACCGAUCGCCAAGGUUGGGGACACAAGGACUUCGAGGCAGGCCCCCCGCAAGGUGCCCUGCCCGGCGUCUGUGGAGCACAGAGCCUGCCUCUGUGCUGAAGCAGCUGCUAAAUACAUUCCUAUUUCAAGAGCCAGGACUCCGGCGGGCCUCGGAGUGGCCACGUGGAGGCAUCUCGCCCCGAGCCAGGAGCGGGUAAAUAAGCGCCCUUAACGGUUAAUUACUGUCGCGGCGGGCGUGAAAUCAGGGAUUUCAGAUGCGCGCGCACAGACUGGCUGCGGCCCGCUGACUCACGACGGGGACAAGCACCCCAGGGCGGCGCACAGCGCACGCUUCAUUAACUGCCCGUGAUCGGCUCGGCCUGCGCCAGGGCUCCGGGGCUGAGUGCCUUCGGCUCUAAUUGCCGAUGGAGGGCUCAGUCGAGUGCCUACUUAUGUGGCCGGCGCGGCGAUGCUGGGACUCGAGGCCUCCGAGGGUGUUACUUCUGCGCGCAGGCGCCCGGCUCUCUCCGCCCUGCCCCACGGGGUCUGUAACUAGGGAGGCUGAAGGGCCCCUCCCACGCGAAGAAGAGAACAACCUUCCCACUGCAGGCCUCACACCUGAGUCACUGGAAGAAGGGAGAUUGCGCUCCCAGAGGCUCCAGCCUUUUCUCGGGGAGACACCGAGCAGUUUCAAAGGCAACCAAACAGUGUCACACAAGCUGGGCACCAAACGUGAGCACCGCCCCGCCCGACCGGCAGAGCAGCCCGG
RNAcentral lists this long non-coding RNA (1548 nucleotides) under Capra hircus (goat). Its description in RNAcentral is "lncRNA (ENSCHIG00010012496.1)". The record is from RNAcentral. Lineage: Eukaryota; Metazoa; Chordata; Mammalia; Artiodactyla; Bovidae.